CCGAGUUCGAUUCUCGGAACGCCCC
This 25-nucleotide non-coding RNA is filed under the name Arabidopsis thaliana (thale cress). Lineage: Eukaryota; Viridiplantae; Streptophyta; Magnoliopsida; Brassicales; Brassicaceae. The record is from RNAcentral.